This 464-nucleotide ribosomal RNA is filed under the name Escherichia coli. Its description in RNAcentral is "bacterial LSU rRNA". It matches the Rfam family "Bacterial large subunit ribosomal RNA", at positions 1280 to 1746 of the family's 2925-position model. The record is from RNAcentral. Lineage: Bacteria; Pseudomonadati; Pseudomonadota; Gammaproteobacteria; Enterobacterales; Enterobacteriaceae.
UAUCAGAAGUGCGAAUGCUGACAUAAGUAACGAUAAAGCGGGUGAAAAGCCCGCUCGCCGGAAGACCAAGGGUUCCUGUCCAACGUUAAUCGGGGCAGGGUGAGUCGACCCCUAAGGCGAGGCCGAAAGGCGUAGUCGAUGGGAAACAGGUUAAUAUUCCUGUACUUGGUGUUACUGCGAAGGGGGGACGGAGAAGGCUAUGUUGGCCGGGCGACGGUUGUCCCGGUUUAAGCGUGUAGGCUGGUUUUCCAGGCAAAUCCGGAAAAUCAAGGCUGAGGCGUGAUGACGAGGCACUACGGUGCUGAAGCAACAAAUGCCCUGCUUCCAGGAAAAGCCUCUAAGCAUCAGGUAACAUCAAAUCGUACCCCAAACCGACACAGGUGGUCAGGUAGAGAAUACCAAGGCGCUUGAGAGAACUCGGGUGAAGGAACUAGGCAAAAUGGUGCCGUAACUUCGGGAGAAGG